GACGAACGCUGGCGGCGUGCUUAACACAUGCAAGUCGAACGGUGAAGGGGCCUGCUUUUGUGGGCCCUGGAUGAGUGGCGAACGGGUGAGUAACACGUGAGUAGCCUGCCCCCUUCUUCUGGAUAACCGCAUGAAAGUGUGGCUAAUACGGGAUAUUCUGGGUCUGUCGCAUGAUGGGUCUGGGAAAGAUUGCGCCUUUGGGUGUUUUUGGUGGGGGAUGGGCUCGCGGCCUAUCAGCUUGUUGGUGGGGUGAUGGCCUACCAAGGCGGUGACGGGUAGCCGGCCUGAGAGGGUGGACGGUCACACUGGGACUGAGACACGGCCCAGACUCCUACGGGAGGCAGCAGUGGGGAAUAUUGCACAAUGGGCGCAAGCCUGAUGCAGCGACGCCGCGUGAGGGAUGGAGGCCUUCGGGUUGUAAACCUCUUUCGCCAGUGAAGCAGGCCUGCUCCUUGUGGGUGGGUUGACGGUAGCUGGAGAAGAAGCGCCGGCUAACUACGUG
Molecule: ribosomal RNA, 502 nt
Filed under: uncultured bacterium
Lineage: Bacteria
Description: partial 16S ribosomal RNA
Rfam family: Bacterial small subunit ribosomal RNA
Source: RNAcentral